Molecule: unclassified non-coding RNA, 412 nt
Filed under: Fleischmannia capillipes
Lineage: Eukaryota; Viridiplantae; Streptophyta; Magnoliopsida; Asterales; Asteraceae
Description: partial contains external transcribed spacer and 18S ribosomal RNA
Source: RNAcentral
UGGUUUGUUACCGGUGGUCGGCUCUWUUUAACAACUUCCACCUGACAUACCUAUUCAUUCGUCCGGUAAGGCUUCAACUGCCUAAUCAAAAUGUGGGUUUCUUGUGUUGCCUACCUAACACACGGCAUUGAUCAGGCUUAUACAACUUCUUUUCAUCUUUUGUCWKGCUUUUGAUAUUUGAUGAACCAAWAAACUGCCUCUUUGAACCAYAUCGCUAAUGAUUGUGUUGAUGUAGUGGWGCAUUGAGCCWUUGCUUGGUUUCUUUUGAUGUGGUACUUGAUUUGGGCAUGGAUCUCACAGGAUCCUCUCAUAAUGUCCYUGUUUAGUAAAUAUGCUUCUUGAAAUGACUGCUUGACAUGCAUURGCUCGUACCAGCAUGUUGGGUUUUGUCUAAAGAGGAAGGUUACCUGGU